Molecule: ribosomal RNA, 406 nt
Filed under: uncultured bacterium
Lineage: Bacteria
Description: bacterial SSU rRNA
Rfam family: Bacterial small subunit ribosomal RNA
Source: RNAcentral
UAGGGAAUUUUCCACAAUGGGCGAAAGCCUGAUGGAGCAACGCCGCGUGCAGGAUGAAGGCCCUUGGGUUGUAAACUGCUUUUAUAUGUGAAGACAUCCGACAGUAACAUAUGAAUAAGGGUCGGCUAACUACGUGCCAGCAGCCGCGGUCAUACGUAGGACCCAAGCGUUAUCCGGAAUUACUGGGUGUAAAGAGUUGCGUAGGUGGCAGAGUAAGUAAGAUGUGAAAGCGUCCGGCUCAACCGGAUAAACAUGUCUUAAACUGCUCAGCUAGAGAACGGGAGAGGUAGAUGGAAUUCCCAGUGUAGGAGUGAAAUCCGUAGAUAUUGGGAGGAACACCGAUGGCGUAGGCAGUCUACUGGCCCGUUUCUGACACUAAGGCACGAAAGCGUGGGGAGCAAACAGG